CUUAGGACAACAUGACCAAGCAUCUUCUACCUGUUGGGCUCUUGGGUUGGCACCACAACCUCAAGAGUUAUUCCCUGAGCCCUUCCCUUGAUGGGAAAUGUUGAGACUCCAUUAUGUGUCAGGCGCUGACCUCAGGACUCAAGGAAGAGAUGAGGAUAAAUAAAAUAGGUCCACUUGUGCUGAGCUGAAGGACCCAGCAGAGAACACAGAGCAGGAGAUGAAAGGCACUCACAUGAAACAUUGCAAAUUGUUGUGAUACAUAAUAAAAACAUCACAGGGUCUCAAAA
This is a long non-coding RNA of Peromyscus eremicus (cactus mouse), 287 nucleotides long. RefSeq lists it as uncharacterized. The transcript has 2 exons. The record is from RefSeq and is a predicted model, not a curated record. NCBI's taxonomy places the organism in Eukaryota, Metazoa, Chordata, Mammalia, Rodentia, Cricetidae.